UCCAGACUCCUACGGGAGGCAGCAGUGAGGAAUAUUGGUCAAUGGGCGAGAGCCUGAACCAGCCAAGUCGCGUGAAGGAUGACGGCCCUACGGGUUGUAAACUUCUUUUGUCAGGGAGCAAUUGAGUCCACGUGUGGGCUUAGCGAGAGUACCUGAAGAAAAAGCAUCGGCUAACUCCGUGCCAGCAGCCGCGGUAAUACGUAUGGAGCAAGCGUUAUCCGGAUUUACUGGGUGUAAAGGGAGCGCAGACGGCAGGGCAAGUCUGAUGUGAAAGUCCGGGGCUCAACCCCGGGACUGCAUUGGAAACUGUCCGGCUAGAGUGCAGGAGAGGUAAGUGGAAUUCCUAGUGUAGCGGUGAAAUGCGUAGAUAUUAGGAGGAACACCAGUGGCGAAGGCGGCUUACUGGACUGUAACUGACGUUGAGGCUCGAAAGCGUGGGGAGCAAACAGGAUUAGAUACCCUGGUAC
RNAcentral lists this ribosomal RNA (467 nucleotides) under uncultured bacterium. RNAcentral describes it as "bacterial SSU rRNA". It matches the Rfam family "Bacterial small subunit ribosomal RNA", at positions 330 to 793 of the family's 1533-position model. The record is from RNAcentral.